Molecule: long non-coding RNA, 331 nt
Filed under: Capsella rubella
Lineage: Eukaryota; Viridiplantae; Streptophyta; Magnoliopsida; Brassicales; Brassicaceae
Description: long non-coding RNA (CRUB_LNC002585)
Source: RNAcentral
GGGAAUUGUCCUUUUUGAAACUCAUUUUUUAAAUGCUAUUUUUAUUUUGUAUUUGGGAAUUUAAAACUUAUUCCAAAAUUUAUAAAAGGGAGAUUCUCAUAAACACCAUCAUUUUAUGUUUUUUUUUUUUUUUGUCAUCUCAAUAACUAAAUUACAAGUUUAACGGGAACAAAUUCUCCUCUAUGAAGAACCACAUUGACAUUCUGAUCGGCUCAAAUUUGCCUUGAGCUACUCUCUCAAUUAAGAGAUCACUGUAGUACUUAGGGAUCGAUUCCACAGAGACUCAAAGAUUACACAGUAAAUUUUUGGUAUUAAAAUUAAGCUAAGCAAG